Molecule: long non-coding RNA, 828 nt
Organism: Acinonyx jubatus (cheetah)
Lineage: Eukaryota; Metazoa; Chordata; Mammalia; Carnivora; Felidae
Exons: 3
Source: RefSeq, a predicted model, not a curated record
GAACAUUUAGGUAAACCUGGGUGACCUGAUUACACUGUUUUAACGCUCUAACUAAGGUCGAGGGCUGCCCAUGAUUUCAUCAUAAAUUAGGCAAGUAUUUGAGGGAAAUUCUUAAAAAAGAACGGCAUGUCCUCACGUACGGAUCAGCAAGUGAGCAAUGUUCCUGCUGUGCUUUAGAAAGAGGUGCCAGCUCGAUGAGAUGCUGUCGACAUGACAGAAAGCCACCUGCUGCCAAUUUCUACUUCCCAGUAUGAAAACCAGUCUUCUCGUGGAUUAUCGCUGCUGGUAGGAGACAGAAAAUUGCCCCUGCCCUUGCUGACUGUGGUUAACUGGUCGGGGAGUUUCGUAUCCUGGGUCUUGGAAAAUUCAGAGGGGUACAAAGACACAAAAUGACAGGAAGAGGUCGGGACACCCUGUGACAAUGGAGAACACAGCCACGUAUUCUACAUACUCAUCUGGCAUGAGAGCUACCAGUGGAAUUCAUGCCCAGAAAGUUUCAGAGGGACCCUCAAGGGUAGCUUUUUACCAGGUUCCAAGGAUGCUUCAGGCAACUUCCAAACAUCUAUAGCAGUAUCAUCUGCAGGUGGCUUCUUGGCGGCUUUCCAGUGAGUCCUACUGAUGCCACAGCCAAUUCCCCGCGCCUGGGUAGCUCAGUCAGUUAAGCGUCCGACUUCAGCUCAGGUCAUGAUCUCACGGUCUGUGAGUUCGAGCCCCGUGUCAGGCUCUGUGUUGACAGCUCAGAGCCUGGAGCCUGCUUCAGAUUCCGUGUCUCCCUCUCUCUCUCUGCCCCUUCCCUGCUCAUGCUCUGUCUCUCCCUCUCUCCCAAAA